Molecule: ribosomal RNA, 327 nt
Filed under: Triticum aestivum (bread wheat)
Lineage: Eukaryota; Viridiplantae; Streptophyta; Magnoliopsida; Poales; Poaceae
Description: partial small subunit ribosomal RNA
Source: RNAcentral
AUGUCAACUCCCUCACUACAUGUUGGACAGACCUUGCAUGAAUUUCCACAAGUUGUACAUCACAAUCUUAGGCCAUCUAGCUCUGAACCUGAGGCUACUAGCACCAAGAGAGCAAAAAAGCAAAAGACCACAAGUAUUGAUGAUUUUCAUGAGAGAUACCUGCAACUCAAAAGAGAAGAAAUAGACCGGUAUGCAGCCAUUGAGGAGAGGAAAUUAAGGGACCCCUUCAGCAUCAAGAAAUGCAGCAAAGCACUUGAAAGGUUGGACGGCCUUCCGAUGGCAGAUAUGCUAAAAGCAGUCGACAUCUUCACCAACAGUAACUUGUAG